This is a long non-coding RNA of Schistocerca americana (American grasshopper), 546 nucleotides long. RefSeq lists it as uncharacterized. Lineage: Eukaryota; Metazoa; Arthropoda; Insecta; Orthoptera; Acrididae. The record is from RefSeq and is a predicted model, not a curated record. The transcript has 2 exons.
UCUGCGUGGUGUCACCGCGUAACUGGUUUCUAUUUGCAUAAUGCACUCUCUCGCAACAUUUCCAGAGAUUAGCGUGACGUUAUUUCCGUUGAGCUGAGGCUACAAAGGCAGACGCUAAGCCGUCAGUACGUUAUUCUGUGCAGCGAACUAGUACCAUGCGUAUGUCGGUGCGCGUACUGUGCGUCAUUAUGGUGCUCCACGUCAGCGCGGCCAGUACGUCGGACAACCGUACGGCGCCGUCCCACACAGCAAUCGACUUGCCGCCUCCGUCCGGAAGAGCGCCUGGUGCGGCUAUUACACUGCCUCCCAGGUGCCCGGACGACACGACUAACGUCAACGGAAAAUGCGUACGCACCAUUCAUAUACAAGAUAACCGGGAAAACUGAAGACCAUCAGGCUGGCGGGCUGUAUCCAGCUAGGAAUGAGGAACAUUCGCUCAAGGGUGCGCUUCGUCGCACAAAUUAAAAAAAAACGCAUGUAUGGACACCAGUACUACACAAAGACGAAUGUAAAAUUUUGUAAUAAAAAUGCAAAUAUUUUCAGCAA